UGUCCGGAAUUAUUGGGCGUAAAGAGCUCGUAGGCGGUUUGUCGCGUCUGCUGUGAAAACCCGAGGCUCAACCUCGGGCCUGCAGUGGGUACGGGCAGACUAGAGUGCGGUAGGGGAGAUUGGAAUUCCUGGUGUAGCGGUGGAAUGCGCAGAUAUCAGGAGGAACACCAAUGGCGAAGGCAGAUCUCUGGGCCGUAACUGACGCUGAGGAGCGAAAGCAUGGGGAGCGAACAGGAUUAGAUACCCUGGUAGUCCAUGCCGUAAACGUUGGGAACUAGAUGUGGGGACCAUUCCACGGUCUCCGUGUCGCAGCUAACGCAUUAAGUCCCCGCCUGGGGAGUACGGCCGCAAGGCUAAAACUCAAAGGAAUUGACGGGGCCCGCACAAGCGGCGGAGCAUGCGGAUUAAUUCGAUGCAACGCGAAGAACCUUACCAAGGCUUGACAUAUACCGGAAACGGCUGGAAACAGUCGCCCCGCAAGGUCGGUAUACAGGUGGUGCAUGGUUGUCGUCAGCUCGUGUCGUGAGAUGUUGGGUUAAGUCCCGCAACGAGCGCAACCCUCGUCCUAUGUUGCCAGCACGUAAUGGUGGGAACUCAUGGGAUACUGCCGGGGUCAACUCGGAGGAAGGUGGGGAUGACGUCAAAUCAUCAUGCCCCUUAUGUCUUGGGCUUCACGCAUGCUACAAUGGCCGGUACAAAGGGCCUCGAUACCGCAAGGUGGAGCGAAUCCCAAAAAGCCGGUCUCAGUUCGGAUUGAGGUCUGCAACUCGACCUCAUGAAGUCGGAGUCGCUAGUAAUCGCAGAUCAGCAACGCUGCGGUGAAUACGUUCCCGGGCCUUGUACACACCGC
Molecule: ribosomal RNA, 850 nt
Filed under: uncultured Cryobacterium sp.
Lineage: Bacteria; Bacillati; Actinomycetota; Actinomycetes; Micrococcales; Microbacteriaceae
Description: bacterial SSU rRNA
Rfam family: Bacterial small subunit ribosomal RNA
Source: RNAcentral